This 254-nucleotide ribosomal RNA is filed under the name uncultured bacterium. RNAcentral describes it as "partial 16S ribosomal RNA". It matches the Rfam family "Bacterial small subunit ribosomal RNA", at positions 524 to 776 of the family's 1533-position model. The record is from RNAcentral.
UACGUAGGGUGCGAGCGUUGUCCGGAAUUAUUGGGCGUAAAGAGCUCGUAGGCGGUGUGUCACGUCGGCCGUGAAAACCUGCAGCUUAACUGUGGGCGUGCGGUCGAUACGGGCAUCACUGGAGUUCGGCAGGGGAGACUGGAAUUCCUGGUGUAGCGGUGAAAUGCGCAGAUAUCAGGAGGAACACCGGUGGCGAAGGCGGGUCUCUGGGCCGAUACUGACGCUGAGGAGCGAAAGCGUGGGGAGCGAAUGGG